Molecule: unclassified non-coding RNA, 378 nt
Filed under: uncultured Micrococcales bacterium
Lineage: Bacteria; Bacillati; Actinomycetota; Actinomycetes; Micrococcales
Description: contains 16S-23S intergenic spacer region
Source: RNAcentral
UCCGGCUUAACGCCGGCAGUCUCCCAUGAGUCCCCAACAUAACUUGCUGGCAACAUGGAACGAGGGUUGCGCUCGUUGCGGGACUUAACCCAACAUCUCACGACACGAGCUGACGACAACCAUGCACCACCUGUUUACGAGUGUCCAAAGAGUUGACCAUUUCUGGCCCGUUCUCGUAUAUGUCAAGCCUUGGUAAGGUUCUUCGCGUUGCAUCGAAUUAAUCCGCAUGCUCCGCCGCUUGUGCGGGUCCCCGUCAAUUCCUUUGAGUUUUAGCCUUGCGGCCGUACUCCCCAGGCGGGGAACUUAAUGCGUUAGCUUCGGCACGGACGGAGUCGACACCGCCCACACCUAGUUCCCAUCGUUUACGGCGUGGACUAC